UGCGAGAUAGCUAAGACGGAUGGUUCUGUUGCCCGGCUCAUAACCGGAUGCUGAGUGGUUCGAUUCCACAUCUCGCAACCA
This 81-nucleotide transfer RNA is filed under the name Pseudomonas phage EM. Its description in RNAcentral is "tRNA-Ile". It matches the Rfam family "tRNA". Rfam says of the family: Transfer RNA (tRNA) molecules are approximately 80 nucleotides in length. Their secondary structure includes four short double-helical elements and three loops (D, anti-codon, and T loops). Lineage: Duplodnaviria; Heunggongvirae; Uroviricota; Caudoviricetes; Vandenendeviridae. The record is from RNAcentral. RNAcentral also lists the same sequence under 2 other names.